This 537-nucleotide ribosomal RNA is filed under the name Hepatozoon sp. 2 BCS-2013. RNAcentral describes it as "SSU rRNA". It matches the Rfam family "Eukaryotic small subunit ribosomal RNA", at positions 474 to 1016 of the family's 1831-position model. The record is from RNAcentral. Lineage: Eukaryota; Apicomplexa; Hepatozoidae.
AAGAAAUAACAAUACAAGGCAGUUAAAAUGCUUUGUAAUUGGAAUGAUAGAAAUUUAAACACUUUUUAAAGUAUCAAUUGGAGGGCAAGUCUGGUGCCAGCAGCCGCGGUAAUUCCAGCUCCAAUAGCGUAUAUUAAAAUUGUUGCAGUUAAAAAGCUCGUAGUUGAAUUUCUGCUAAAAAUAACCGGUCUGCUUUWAAUAAAGGUGGUAUCUUGGUGUGUUUUUAGCAAUAAUGUCCUUUGAAAUGUUUUUUACUUCAUUGUAAUAAAUUAUAUUCAGGAUUUUUACUUUGAGAAAAUUAGAGUGUUUCUAGCAGGCUAACGCUUUGAAUACUGCAGCAUGGAAUAAUAARAUAGGAUUUUGGUUCUACAUUAUUGGUUUUAAGAGCUAAAUUAAUGAUUGAUAGGGACAGUUGGGGGCAUUUGUAUUUAACUGUCAGAGGUGAAAUUCUUAGAUUUGUUAAAGACAAACUACUGCGAAAGCAUUUGCCAAAGAUGUUUUCAUUAAUCAAGAACGAAAGUUAGGGGAAUCGAAGAA